UUUCAAAACAAACCGAAAAGUGACUCAAAAGGCCAACCCAGCUCAGGAAAUCACCAAAACUCCAGCUGCUCAUUAUCCAUGUGGCUGCGUAUAAAACUCCCCACGUUGCCGUGAGUUCAAGAGGGAGCUAGCUAACUCGCCGCCGGUAGCCAUCGCGGAGGAUCAGAUUGCUGCUAUGGAAGCGGCGAGGAUUAAAGUAUGGUGAGCUUCUAAGGCCUCGUACCUGCGGGCCAUGUGCACUCAGCCUUCGUGUUAAAGUUGAAAUGUGAUGCAACACUGCCCCCACAGGGGUGCUCCAUGAGGGCAAGUCUUGUGCACAGCCCCCCCUUCAGGUCUUUUUGGUUCAAUUGACAGAGAUUGGGAUGCUAAAAGGUGACGUCGCUCUUCAGCAGAGAAGCAAAGAUGGGCUGUUGCUG
Doryrhamphus excisus (bluestripe pipefish) is the source of this 416-nucleotide long non-coding RNA. RefSeq lists it as uncharacterized. The record is from RefSeq and is a predicted model, not a curated record. NCBI's taxonomy places the organism in Eukaryota, Metazoa, Chordata, Actinopteri, Syngnathiformes, Syngnathidae.